CCACCGCCGAUUCCACGACGUCAUUCCGCGGCCCCAACGGUUGCACCACCACCGAUUCCGCUCCGAGCUCCGGCGAUACCGAAGAGAUGCAAAAACGAACGACCGAUACCGUUGCAACAGAGUGGACCGAAGAGAUCGACGCGUAUAUCCGACGAUAAAAAUACAGGCGUUGGAAAAGCUGAAUCAAGUUGCCCGAAGCCAGGGUCUAGGGGACAGCCCGGACAAAGAAAUUUGACAUCCGCAUCUGCCUCGGGAAGCCCUUGGCAGCAACCUCCGUUAUCCGAGGAUAGAAAACUGAUCGAUUUGGGUGGUCGGAACGUUUCCAAAGAUGUCAGCGACGACUCGGAUAAGGAUAAACAGCGAUCGGCAGGGAAGCCGAGCAAUCUCGAAGAGCUCCAAAAAGCCUCCAAGGACCUCGAAAAGCG
RNAcentral lists this unclassified non-coding RNA (425 nucleotides) under Athalia rosae (coleseed sawfly). RNAcentral describes it as "misc RNA ENSAEAG00005011656.1". Lineage: Eukaryota; Metazoa; Arthropoda; Insecta; Hymenoptera; Athaliidae. The record is from RNAcentral.